AUUUGUGCAGAAAUGCUGGUAUGUGAGCGUGGAGGAGAAAUUCCUAUAAUGCACGUCUCCUUGUGCAUUCCUGAGUUGCUGUCUGAGUGUUGACCUUGUCCAGAGGAGCAUUAGUGGAAAAA
Long non-coding RNA from Ornithodoros turicata, 122 nucleotides. RefSeq lists it as uncharacterized. The record is from RefSeq and is a predicted model, not a curated record. NCBI's taxonomy places the organism in Eukaryota, Metazoa, Arthropoda, Arachnida, Ixodida, Argasidae. The transcript is spliced from 2 exons.